GGGGGCGUAGCUCAGCCUGGUAGAGCGCCUGCAUGGCAUGCAGGAGGUUUCGAGGGUUCAAAUCCCUUCGCCUCCA
This 76-nucleotide transfer RNA is filed under the name Acidimicrobiales bacterium. RNAcentral's name for it is "tRNA-Ala". It matches the Rfam family "tRNA". Rfam says of the family: Transfer RNA (tRNA) molecules are approximately 80 nucleotides in length. The record is from RNAcentral. Lineage: Bacteria; Bacillati; Actinomycetota; Acidimicrobiia; Acidimicrobiales.